UAAAGCCCUUUCAGUGGGAAAGAUGAUGACGGUACCCACAGAAGAAGCCCCGGCUAACUCCGUGCCAGCAGCCGCGGUAAUACGGAGGGGGCGAGCGUUGUUCGGAAUUACUGGGCGUAAAGCGCGCGCAGGCGGUUUUGCAAGUCAGGAGUGAAAGGCCAGGGCUCAACCCUGGGACUGCUCUUGAAACUGCGAGACUGGAGUUGGGUAGAGGGUGACGGAAUUCCCCGUGUAGAGGUGAAAUUCGUAGAUAUGGGGAGGAAGACC
Molecule: ribosomal RNA, 267 nt
Filed under: uncultured Magnetococcus sp.
Lineage: Bacteria; Pseudomonadati; Pseudomonadota; Magnetococcia; Magnetococcales; Magnetococcaceae
Description: partial 16S ribosomal RNA
Rfam family: Bacterial small subunit ribosomal RNA
Source: RNAcentral